Molecule: long non-coding RNA, 1263 nt
Organism: Felis catus (domestic cat)
Lineage: Eukaryota; Metazoa; Chordata; Mammalia; Carnivora; Felidae
Exons: 3
Source: RefSeq, a predicted model, not a curated record
UGUCGGCCAGAGAGAGCUGCUUUCCCCAAGUUUAUGUUUGUUCCCAAAGGCAACUGCAUUCAAUGACAGGUCAGCAUGGAGGUAAAAAUGCCCAGCUCCUUUGCCUCAGUUUGGGACGUCUCUGAAGGCCAGUUCCAACUCCACGGCUCCUACAGGAUUGACUAAGUCCUCUCUUGCAAGCAUGUCGGUUCUAUUCCCACUGCUCAGUUCUGCUUCCCUCCCUGACAGUGACUUUCUGAGAGCUCCCACUAACAAAUCGGACUGCAGAUCUUUUCAUCAAAAUCUGUUUGCCUGGAGACCUGAACAAAGACAAUGUCCUGCCAUCUUUUUCAUUUUUAUAUGGGUGUGCUUUUUCACUGUUUUUCUUUUUGCUUCAGUUUUUAAAAACCUAUUUACUAGUUCACGGAAAAAAACUAGAGCCUAGCCUGGCUCACUGUUGUCAGUUGGACCCAGUCUGCUGUUCAGUUCCUCUUUUAAUUUAUUAAUUUCAGAUACUUUAUUUUUUAUUGACAGAAUGCUGAUUUGAUUUUCUUUUACGGAUUUUAAUUCUCUCUCCACUGUUUGCCCUGUUUGGUCUCUCUUUUUCUCUAUUGUUUUUAACAUAUUAACCAUAGGUGUUUGAAAGUCCUUGUUUGUUACUUCUACUACCUGGGUCAUCUCCCCUCUGUUUUUUUUGUGAGGGUUGGUCAUUUUUCCUCAUCCCUUCAUUUCUAGAAAUUUCAUAAUGCAUGUUGGACAUUGUAUAUAAUUCUAGAGGCUUUAGAUGAUAUCAUCUUCCUUUGUUGGUAAAUAGAAUGAAAGUUGGAGCACCUGAGUCCAAUCAGACAUCAAUCAAGAUUGGGGCUGGGUUUCAGUUUUAGUAAAGUCUGUUCAUUUCUGCUUGCCCUUGCUCGUGUUUGCUGUGCCUCCCUUCUCCCUGCAUGGGGUUUGAUUCUGUGUCGGUGGAUCUAUGUGUCAGAUGUGGAAGACUGCAGAAAACUCAGCUCUGCGUUUCAGAGAUCGGAGCCCAGCUCUCCAGUCUCCAACUUGCUUCAACAUACGGCAACUUUCCUGAAGGCGAGACAGUAUGUUUGAGCAUCUCUGCUCCUGAUUUUCCCUCCUGCCAUGAUGAAGAUAUUUCACAGAUCUGUUCCUGCACUGGCUGACCUGAAGGUGCCUGUCUCUGAACCUACUGGUUUGAAGUUUCUUCAUAUUUCCAUCUUUAGGAUGAACGGAAAUCUGAGCAGGAGGGGUACACCGAUCCAGUCCUUAUGAAGUCAACGG